RNAcentral lists this long non-coding RNA (1358 nucleotides) under Pogona vitticeps (central bearded dragon). RNAcentral's name for it is "lncRNA (ENSPVIG00000022990.1)". Lineage: Eukaryota; Metazoa; Chordata; Lepidosauria; Squamata; Agamidae. The record is from RNAcentral.
GUUUCACCUCAUGAGCAGGGUUCAAGCACUCUUGACUUUUUGAUAAGUAGAGAUCACUAUCUCGUCUUCCAGUCCAUUCCCCUCCCCAGCCUUCUCCAUCCCCCUCAGAAUUUAGCUUAGUUCAUCACAGUGAGUGGGUGAUGGAGGUGAAAUAUUUUUAGCAAAUAUAUCUUGUGAUAAACUAUCCCAGUUGUAAUGCAGAGUAUUUUGGAGCAGCUUGGUCUUGAGGGCAAUAUGCUUUUUUAAAAGUCCUGUUUUUGGUGGAGAUGAAAGCUGCCAAAAUUGACUUGUUGAUAUGGAUCAACAUCUGUGUUGUGGAUGUGGGAACUCUGCCAUUACACUAGGGGUGGUCAAAGUGUCCAGACGUUUGUUGCAUUGCAACCCCUAGUGUUCCUCAUCCCUGGUUAUGCUAGUUGGGGCUGAUGGGAGGUGCAGUCCAACAAUACCCAGGGGGCUGCUUUUUGCUCACUUCUAAGCUACAUGGCUGCUCAUGAAUUGACACACAAUUCAUGUGUGUACAGGGCAAUGUUGAAAGCUGCAGGAUGCAGAGUAAACAUUGUGCUCUUGGUGAGAUUGGGUCAUUUCCUUCUAUGUAGAACGGGUCUGCCCCCCCCCCCCCCGUGUUGCUUAAAAGAUUUGGGUAGUUUGGAAAGGGGGGAAGAGAAGGCAGAAAGGACUUUUUUUUAAACAGAAGCAGCAGACAAGCUGAGUGAAGUCAUGGUGGAAGCCCAAGCUCUCUCACAUAAUUGAGGCAAUAAUUUAGGGGCAACAUCUGAAGAAGGUCUAAAGAGGAUUAGGGGGAAAGAUGGAGACAGCACCUCUGUUGCAGAAAUUUCUCAGGGUUCAGCCCAGAGCUUUUGGGGCAGUACUGGUGGUCCUUGGAUUGGUUCAGUCAGCCUUGGGAGGCCUCUUUCUCGUCUUCCACUGUUCCUACACAGACUACCUUGGCAUUCAUUUCUUCUCAGGGAUCUCGCUGUUCCUAGCUGGAAUCGUUGCUAUUAUAGUUGACCAAGUCCCCCGCAUUGGCUUGUUCUACUGCAGAGCACUGAGAGGAAUUGCUUUUGCCACUGGAGCAGUGGGCGUCUGCCUCACCGUUUGUCUCGCAGCCUUUAUCUGUCGAACCAUCUGUUACCACAGCUCUGAUGACACUGCGCCGGUCAUCGGGCUCCAUUUACAAGAUGGCAAGAGAGAUACAGAGUAAAAGCCAGGCGUGCCAGUCUCAGAAGUGAUGCUGAGGAAUUCUUCUGAGGAACACUCAAGAAGAUCUUUAAUCAGGAUCCUAUUGUGCUGCUGUUCUCCACUACUGUUUCCUAGCAAUCUUCUGUAUCAUGUAAACAAUAAAGUAUUACCAAGGUGCA